Molecule: non-coding RNA, 758 nt
Organism: Microcebus murinus (gray mouse lemur)
Lineage: Eukaryota; Metazoa; Chordata; Mammalia; Primates; Cheirogaleidae
Source: RefSeq, a predicted model, not a curated record
UGCGCUCGUUCUCUGGCUACAAGCGUCAUUUUGUUUGGUAUUCACUUCUAUUAUUGUCUGGGUAACGGCAACUGGUGCAUUACGACUUAGAGGAAGGAACGUCAAUUUAAACCGCUUAUACAUAAUAAGCAGAGGGCUUAUGUUAAGUGUUCGUGUAUUCAGCAGGCAGAAUGUUCUUUUGUGGAAUAAAAAAGUGAUAGUUUUUUUUUUUUUUGAAAGCAGUUUUUAGUUGUGACGCAAUGUGGAAGGCUGUCCAAGGUAUUACUUACUGCCUAUUUUUGAUACGUCUGCUUUAAGCCUAGCCUGCCGUCCCUAGCCAUAAAUUCCUACCCACAGAGAGUCCAUCCCAUCUACCAGCUGGAAGUACAACGUUGACACUCUGAGUGAAAUGCAAAGCUGCCAGAGAGUUUUGAGCAGAGGAGCGGACGUGAUCCACAUGAUUCUCCAAGGCUCACUCGUGCGCUGCCUGGAGUCUAGAGCCACGCCACCCAACAGAAAUACACCGUGAGCCACGAAUUCUGGACAGAGUCUCAGGUGCCUGGUGGAUGCUGGACUGUUCAUUCAAUUGCCCAGUAUGAGCUACCUGCCACUUGAGUUGACGUAACUCCAUCACCACCUUCUGUGCAGUCACUGGGCUGUUCAAUUGUGACUUGGUUCUCCUCCUUCCAGGCACGUUGUGGGACUAGGCUUUCCCUUUAAACCUGUGGCUGAGCAUGUGACCUACUUUGGGCAACAGAAUGUGAAUAGAGGUACCGUGU